AAUAUUGGACAAUGGGGGCAACCCUGAUCCAGCCAUGCCGCGUGUGUGAAGAAGGUCUUCGGAUUGUAAAGCACUUUAAGUUGGGAGGAAGGGCUUUAGGUUAAUACACUGAAGCUUUGACGUUACCAACAGAAUCAGCCCCUGCUAACUCUGUUCCAGCAGCCGCGGUAAUACAGAGGGUGCAAGCGGUAAUCGGAAUUACUGGGCGUAAAGAGCGCGGAGGACAUUCAAUAAGAUGGGUGUGAAAUCCCCGGGCUUAACCCGGGAACGUCUUUCAUAACUGCUGGGCUAGAGUACGGUAGAGGGUAGUGGAAUUUCCUGUGUAGCGGUGAAAUGCGUAGAUAUAGGAAGGAACACCAGUGGCGAAGGCGACUACCUGGACUGAUACUGACACUGAGGUGCGAAAGCGUGGGGAGCAAAC
Molecule: ribosomal RNA, 421 nt
Filed under: uncultured bacterium
Lineage: Bacteria
Description: partial 16S ribosomal RNA
Rfam family: Bacterial small subunit ribosomal RNA
Source: RNAcentral